RNAcentral lists this ribosomal RNA (2990 nucleotides) under Salmonella enterica subsp. enterica serovar Paratyphi B var. L(+) tartrate +. RNAcentral's name for it is "bacterial LSU rRNA". It matches the Rfam family "Bacterial large subunit ribosomal RNA". Lineage: Bacteria; Pseudomonadati; Pseudomonadota; Gammaproteobacteria; Enterobacterales; Enterobacteriaceae. The record is from RNAcentral.
UUAAGCGACUAAGCGUACACGGUGGAUGCCCUGGCAGUCAGAGGCGAUGAAGGGCGUGCUAAUCUGCGAUAAGCGCCGGUAAGGUGAUAUGAACCGUUAUAACCGGCGAUACCCGAAUGGGGAAACCCAGUGUGACUCGUCACACUAUCAUUAACUGAAUCCAUAGGUUAAUGAGGCGAACCGGGGGAACUGAAACAUCUAAGUACCCCGAGGAAAAGAAAUCAACCGAGAUUCCCCCAGUAGCGGCGAGCGAACGGGGAGGAGCCCAGAGCCUGAAUCAGCAUGUGUGUUAGUGGAAGCGUCUGGAAAGGCGCGCGAUACAGGGUGACAGCCCCGUACACAAAAGCGCAUGUGUUGUGAGCUCGAUGAGUAGGGCGGGACACGUGGUAUCCUGUCUGAAUAUGGGGGGACCAUCCUCCAAGGCUAAAUACUCCUGACUGACCGAUAGUGAACCAGUACCGUGAGGGAAAGGCGAAAAGAACCCCGGCGAGGGGAGUGAAAAAGAACCUGAAACCGUGUACGUACAAGCAGUGGGAGCACAGGUUUACCUGUGUGACUGCGUACCUUUUGUAUAAUGGGUCAGCGACUUAUAUUCUGUAGCAAGGUUAACCGAAUAGGGGAGCCGGAGGGAAACCGAGUCUUAACCGGGCGUUAAGUUGCAGGGUAUAGACCCGAAACCCGGUGAUCUAGCCAUGGGCAGGUUGAAGGUUGGGUAACACUAACUGGAGGACCGAACCGACUAAUGUUGAAAAAUUAGCGGAUGACCUGUGGCUGGGGGUGAAAGGCCAAUCAAACCGGGAGAUAGCUGGUUCUCCCCGAAAGCUAUUUAGGUAGCGCCUCGUGAACUCAUCUCCGGGGGUAGAGCACUGUUUCGGCUAGGGGGCCAUCCCGGCUUACCAACCCGAUGCAAACUGCGAAUACCGGAGAAUGUUAUCACGGGAGACACACGGCGGGUGCUAACGUCCGUCGUGAAGAGGGAAACAACCCAGACCGCCAGCUAAGGUCCCAAAGUCAUGGUUAAGUGGGAAACGAUGUGGGAAGGCCCAGACAGCCAGGAUGUUGGCUUAGAAGCAGCCAUCAUUUAAAGAAAGCGUAAUAGCUCACUGGUCGAGUCGGCCUGCGCGGAAGAUGUAACGGGGCUAAACCAUGCACCGAAGCUGCGGCAGCGAACGUAUCACCCAAGACAACUUUGCGGAGUUGACGAUUGACGGAGCGAAGCGACGUCAAAGCGUUCAUUAAAGUCGAGUUGGCUUAGGGAUACGUUCGUUGGGUAGGGGAGCGUUCUGUAAGCCAGUGAAGGUGUGUCGUGAGGCAUGCUGGAGGUAUCAGAAGUGCGAAUGCUGACAUAAGUAACGAUAAAGCGGGUGAAAAGCCCGCUCGCCGGAAGACCAAGGGUUCCUGUCCAACGUUAAUCGGGGCAGGGUGAGUCGACCCCUAAGGCGAGGCCGAAAGGCGUAGUCGAUGGGAAACGGGUUAAUAUUCCCGUACUUGGUGUUACUGCGAAGGGGGGACGGAGAAGGCUAUGUUGGCCGGGCGACGGUUGUCCCGGUUUAAGCGUGUAGGUGUGUGUUCCAGGUAAAUCCGGUUCACUUUAACACUGAGGCGUGACGACGAGGCACUACGGUGCUGAAGCAACAAAUGCCCUGCUUCCAGGAAAAGCCUCUAAGCAUCAGGUAACAUCAAAUCGUACCCCAAACCGACACAGGUGGUCAGGUAGAGAAUACCAAGGCGCUUGAGAGAACUCGGGUGAAGGAACUAGGCAAAAUGGUGCCGUAACUUCGGGAGAAGGCACGCUGACACGUAGGUGAAGUGAUUUACUCAUGGAGCUGAAGUCAGUCGAAGAUACCAGCUGGCUGCAACUGUUUAUUAAAAACACAGCACUGUGCAAACACGAAAGUGGACGUAUACGGUGUGACGCCUGCCCGGUGCCGGAAGGUUAAUUGAUGGGGUCAGCGCAAGCGAAGCUCCUGAUCGAAGCCCCGGUAAACGGCGGCCGUAACUAUAACGGUCCUAAGGUAGCGAAAUUCCUUGUCGGGUAAGUUCCGACCUGCACGAAUGGCGUAAUGAUGGCCAGGCUGUCUCCACCCGAGACUCAGUGAAAUUGAACUCGCUGUGAAGAUGCAGUGUACCCGCGGCAAGACGGAAAGACCCCGUGAACCUUUACUAUAGCUUGACACUGAACAUUGAGCCUUGAUGUGUAGGAUAGGUGGGAGGCUUUGAAGUGUGGACGCCAGUCUGCAUGGAGCCGACCUUGAAAUACCACCCUUUAAUGUUUGAUGUUCUAACGUGGACCCGUAAUCCGGGUUGCGGACAGUGUCUGGUGGGUAGUUUGACUGGGGCGGUCUCCUCCUAAAGAGUAACGGAGGAGCACGAAGGUUGGCUAAUCCUGGUCGGACAUCAGGAGGUUAGUGCAAUGGCAUAAGCCAGCUUGACUGCGAGCGUGACGGCGCGAGCAGGUGCGAAAGCAGGUCAUAGUGAUCCGGUGGUUCUGAAUGGAAGGGCCAUCGCUCAACGGAUAAAAGGUACUCCGGGGAUAACAGGCUGAUACCGCCCAAGAGUUCAUAUCGACGGCGGUGUUUGGCACCUCGAUGUCGGCUCAUCACAUCCUGGGGCUGAAGUAGGUCCCAAGGGUAUGGCUGUUCGCCAUUUAAAGUGGUACGCGAGCUGGGUUUAGAACGUCGUGAGACAGUUCGGUCCCUAUCUGCCGUGGGCGCUGGAGAACUGAGGGGGGCUGCUCCUAGUACGAGAGGACCGGAGUGGACGCAUCACUGGUGUUCGGGUUGUCAUGCCAAUGGCACUGCCCGGUAGCUAAAUGCGGAAGAGAUAAGUGCUGAAAGCAUCUAAGCACGAAACUUGCCCCGAGAUGAGUUCUCCCUGAGACUUUAGGUCUCCUGAAGGAACGUUGAAGACGACGACGUUGAUAGGCCGGGUGUGUAAGCGCAGCGAUGCGUUGAGCUAACCGGUACUAAUGAACCGUGAGGCUUAACCUU